AGUUCUUCAGUGGCAAGCUUUACGUCCUGUCCCAGCUAAAGCUGCCAGUUGAAGAACUGU
RNAcentral lists this microRNA precursor (60 nucleotides) under Ornithorhynchus anatinus (platypus). RNAcentral's name for it is "Oan-Mir-22-P1b_pre stem-loop". It matches the Rfam family "mir-22 microRNA precursor family", at positions 15 to 74 of the family's 84-position model. Lineage: Eukaryota; Metazoa; Chordata; Mammalia; Monotremata; Ornithorhynchidae. The record is from RNAcentral.